RNAcentral lists this ribosomal RNA (429 nucleotides) under Chloroflexota bacterium. RNAcentral's name for it is "Chloroflexi bacterium partial 16S ribosomal RNA". It matches the Rfam family "Bacterial small subunit ribosomal RNA", at positions 355 to 776 of the family's 1533-position model. The record is from RNAcentral. Lineage: Bacteria; Bacillati; Chloroflexota.
UGGGGAAUAUUGCACAAUGGGCGCAAGCCUGAUGCAGCCAUGCCGCGUGUAUGAAGAAGGCCUUCGGGUUGUAAAGUACUUUCAGCGGGGAGGAAGGGAGUAAAGUUAAUACCUUUGCUCAUUGACGUUACGCGCAGAAGAAGCACCGGCUAACUCCGUGCCAGCAGCUGCGGUAAUACGGAGGGUGCAAGCGUUAAUCGGAAUUACUGGGCGUAAAGCGCACGCAGGCGGGUUGUUAAGUCAGAUGUGAAAUCCCCGGGCUCAACCUGGGAACUGCAUCUGAUACUGGGAAGCUUGAGUCUCGUAGAGGGGGGUAGAAUUCCAGGUGUAGCGGUGAAAUGCGUAGAGAUCUGGAGGAAUACCGGUGGCGAAGGCGGCCCCCUGGACGAAGACUGACGCUCAGGUGCGAAAGCGUGGGGAGCAAACAGG